GAGAAAGAUACAGUGGCUGUGGUGUUGGCUUGAAACCAAUAGUAGGGGGUUCGAUUCCUUCCUUUCUUACUUAUCCAUUUA
RNAcentral lists this transfer RNA (81 nucleotides) under Tragulus kanchil. RNAcentral's name for it is "tRNA-Ser". The stretch from base 1 to 69 matches the Rfam family "tRNA". Rfam says of the family: Transfer RNA (tRNA) molecules are approximately 80 nucleotides in length. Their secondary structure includes four short double-helical elements and three loops (D, anti-codon, and T loops). Further hydrogen bonds mediate the characteristic L-shaped molecular structure. tRNAs have two regions of fundamental functional importance: the anti-codon, which is responsible for specific mRNA codon recognition, and the 3' end, to which the tRNAs corresponding amino acid is attached (by aminoacyl-tRNA synthetases). tRNAs cope with the degeneracy of the genetic code in two manners: having more than one tRNA (with a specific anti-codon) for a particular amino acid; and 'wobble' base-pairing, i.e. permitting non-standard base-pairing at the 3rd anti-codon position. The record is from RNAcentral. Lineage: Eukaryota; Metazoa; Chordata; Mammalia; Artiodactyla; Tragulidae.